RNAcentral lists this ribosomal RNA (1387 nucleotides) under metagenome. RNAcentral's name for it is "bacterial LSU rRNA". It matches the Rfam family "Bacterial large subunit ribosomal RNA", at positions 1516 to 2925 of the family's 2925-position model. The record is from RNAcentral.
GCUCUAUCUUCAUGCUUUUUCUCUCAAGGACAAGCUGUGAUGGGGAGCGAAAUUUAGUAGCGAAGUUCCUGAUGUCACACUGCCAAGAAAAGCUUCUAGUGAGAAAGUAACUGCCCGUACCGCAAACCGACACAGGUAGUUGAGGAGAGAAUCCUAAGGUGUGCGAGAGAACUCUCGUUAAGGAACUCGGCAAAAUGACCCCGUAACUUCGGGAGAAGGGGUGCUGACCGCAAGGUCAGCCGCAGUGAAUAGGCCCAAGCGACUGUUUAUCAAAAACACAGGUCUCUGCAAAAUCGAGAGAUGACGUAUAGGGGCUGACGCCUGCCCGGUGCUGGAAGGUUAAGAGGAGAGGUUAGCGCAAGCGAAGCUUUGAAUUGAAGCCCCAGUAAACGGCGGCCGUAACAAUAACGGUCCUAAGGUAGCGAAAUUCCUUGUCGGGUAAGUUCCGACCCGCACGAAAGGCGUAACGAUUUGGGCACUGUCUCAACGAGAGACUCGGUGAAAUUAUAGUACCAGUGAAGAUGCUGGUUACCCGCGACAGGACGGAAAGACCCCAUGGAGCUUUACUGCAGUUUGAUAUUGCGUGUUUGUAUCACAUGUACAGGAUAGGUAGGAGCCGAAGAUACCGGGACGCCAGUCUCGGAGGAGGCAACGGUGGGAUACUACCCUUGUGAUAUGACCACUCUAACCCGCUGCUCUUAGCGAGCAGGGAGACAGUGUCAGACGGGCAGUUUGACUGGGGCGGUCGCCUCCAAAAAUGUAACGGAGGCGCCCAAAGGUUCCCUCAGAAUGGUUGGAAAUCAUUCGUAGAGUGUAAAGGCAGAAGGGAGCUUGACUGCGAGACCUACAAGUCGAGCAGGGACGAAAGUCGGGCUUAGUGAUCCGGUGGUUCCGCAUGGAAGGGCCAUCGCUCAACGGAUAAAAGCUACCCUGGGGAUAACAGGCUUAUCUCCCCCAAGAGUUCACAUCGACGGGGAGGUUUGGCACCUCGAUGUCGGCUCAUCGCAUCCUGGGGCUGUAGUCGGUCCCAAGGGUUGGGCUGUUCGCCCAUUAAAGCGGUACGCGAGCUGGGUUCAGAACGUCGUGAGACAGUUCGGUCCCUAUCCGUCGCGGGCGUUGGAAAUUUGAGAGGAGCUGUCCUUAGUACGAGAGGACCGGGAUGGACACACCGCUGGUGUACCUGUUGUUCUGCCAAGAGCAUCGCUGGGUAGCUAUGUGUGGACGGGAUAAACGCUGAAAGCAUCUAAGCGUGAAGCCCCCCUCAAGAUGAGAUUUCCCAUCACUUUAAGUGAGUAAGACCCCUGAGAGAUGAUCAGGUAGAUAGGUUGGGAGUGGAAGUACAGCGAUGUAUGGAGCGGACCAAUACUAAUCGGUCGAGGACUUAACC